This 29-nucleotide non-coding RNA is filed under the name Cricetulus griseus (Chinese hamster). RNAcentral also lists the same sequence under 1 other name. The record is from RNAcentral. Lineage: Eukaryota; Metazoa; Chordata; Mammalia; Rodentia; Cricetidae.
CCCCAAAGUUCAGGACAGGUAGAAAGGAU